This 253-nucleotide ribosomal RNA is filed under the name uncultured bacterium. RNAcentral's name for it is "partial 16S ribosomal RNA". It matches the Rfam family "Bacterial small subunit ribosomal RNA", at positions 524 to 776 of the family's 1533-position model. The record is from RNAcentral.
UACGGAGGGGGCUAGCGUUGUUCGGAAUUACUGGGCGUAAAGCGCGCGUAGGCGGACUGUUAAGUCGGGCGUGAAAUCCCGGGGCUUAACCCAGGAACUGCGUUCGAUACUGGCGGGCUAGAGGUCGGUAGAGGAAAGUGGAAUUCCGAGUGUAGAGGUGAAAUUCGUAGAUAUUAGGAAGAACACCAGAGGCGAAGGCGGCUUUCUGGGCCGAUACUGACGCUGAGGCGCGAAAGCGUGGGGAGCAAACAGG